RNAcentral lists this ribosomal RNA (254 nucleotides) under uncultured bacterium. RNAcentral's name for it is "partial 16S ribosomal RNA". It matches the Rfam family "Bacterial small subunit ribosomal RNA", at positions 524 to 776 of the family's 1533-position model. The record is from RNAcentral. RNAcentral also lists the same sequence under 1 other name.
UACGUAGGCAGCAAGCGUUGUUCGGAGUUACUGGGCGUAAAGAGUCUGUAGGCGGUGCUCUAAGUUUGGUGUGAAAUCUCCCGGCUUAACCGGGAGGGUGCGCCGAAGACUGGGGUGCUGGGAGUACGGGAGAGGAACGCGGAAUUCCUGGUGUAGCGGUGAAAUGCGUAGAUAUCAGGAGGAACACCGGUGGUGUAGACGGCGUUCUGGACCGUGACUGACGCUGAGAGACGAAAGCGUGGGGAGCAAACAGG